UCAACUGUGGUUGUAAAUCGAGGACUACUAGUAAGCUUAUGAUUUGCAGAAGUUUAAGCACCCCUAUUACCAAUUAAUCCCUAUCCUAUUUAAUGUAAAAACUAUGUGCACGAUCCACACGUCAAGUAUUUAUUAAAGGAAAAGUUGAACACUGCAUGUCUAUGUUUGAAAAACAAUUUUAGUGUUACAAAUGCUUUGUGGCUAGAGUACUAACAAUACCAGAUUUAGCAAAUAAAUAGAACAUAAUUUAUCUGAUUCCAGUGCCUGAACUAAAGAGUCCAGAAUCCAGGCAAAGCACACAGACCAUCAAAAGUUUGGUCAAACAUUCUGCUAAUCUGUUGAGUUGAUAGAAGCAUGCGAAGAGAGGACUCUUUUAUUCAGUGUUCUUCAACCGUGGCAACUUUUAAAUGCGGACUUCAGAUAAAACGCUGGCUGGAUUGAAAGCCACACUUCUUAAAGGCUGAAAACCGCUGCCUUAAUCUGACACUGUUCUAGGAUUGUAUAACAUCGGAAUCCUUAGGCUCCUCCCUCGCCCCCCCCCCCCGGUCCUUCGCAGAAAAGCCAGACGACUGCAAGAGAGGCAGAGCACUAACGGGACGGCCAAUUAUUUCAUGCCGGGAGGUUCUUCAAAAUCAAGGAGGCGGGAGGAGAUCGAUUAAACUCCAGCAACGGGAUGCGCCCCGCUUUCCCUCCCGGACCACCCGCCUAUUUUAAGCGAGCGCCGCUGAGCUGGCCGGCCUGCCUGCCGGUCCUUUACCUGCGCAUGCGCUGCCGGAUGGCAACUCCGGAGUUAACUUCUGGAGCUGCUCGCUGAUUCUCUUCUAGUCGGAACCACCCCCGCCAGGGUACAUGGCCGCGCAGGGGAAGCCGCGGCCGCAGAGCGUCCUCGGCUUGUGAGUGUCUCGUUUUGUGAGCCGGGGCUGUCCCUUUGUGUCCUCCUGGGUAUCCCGAUAACUUACCGCGGUGGCCAGCUGGAGAAGCAGCAGCCGCAGCCAUGACGGAGCCCCUUCCCGCUCUUUUCACGGCUUGCUUGGUGCAAUGGCGGGGUCCCGGAUAGGUAGGCAGGGAAAGCGCUCGCCUUCAAUCCCGGUCAGCGUCUAGAGAGGCACGCCGAGCUUCAGCCUUCGCCUGACUCGGUUUAUAUCGUGGUGUGAAUGAGUGACAGAGACCAGUUUCUCACUGUAAAUCUCAAAAUGGUUUACAAUUGGACAGAUAGCAUUAUUCAUUCAUUAAAAGUAUGAAGAGAAGGAAAAGAAAAAACGGCUGAACAUGGAACAAUUGUACAGGAAAGAUGUGAAGGGCUCUGAAAGAAAAAAAAAUGAAAUUAACAAAAAAUUGAAUCCUAUCCUAUCCGCAGAACAGCCAUCACUUUGUAUAACCAGUAGAGCAUAUUCAACUUAAACUACCACCUUGUUUCUCUGAGAAUAUUUGUAUGUCAAAUAUUUAAACACUUCAAAAUGUUCCACCUCUUAUUUCAUUGUAAAACUACAGAGAAACACUGUAUUCAAGAUCCUUAUUAUAAGACCACACAGCAACACUAUACUCAAGAUUGUUAUUUUAUUCCUGUAUUGCAAGUAUAAAAAAAAGCUGAUCCAAGGCCACUGAGUUAUGGACAAAAGACAUCCCAUUCAAUAGCACAAUUGCUCUAUAUAGUAUAUAAUUAGCACCUAUGAUGGUUUACAUAUUUGGGAUAAUUCUGACAUCUUAUUUCUACAGAUGCAAGAACAGAUUUUAUCUUAUUUCUACAGAUGCAAGAACAGAUUUUUACUUUUGCAAGAAAUGAAUAGAAAGAGACCUGACCUCUGCAACUGUUGUGCAAAAGAUUAAUUUGGUAUGUAGCUAACUUUCAUUAAUUAACAGGUUAGGCAAGAAAGCCAGCUGGAUGACUGGGUCAAUCUUCAUUCUCAGCCUAACCCACCUCACAGAAUUGUUGUGGGGAAAUAGGAGGAAGGAGUAUUAUGUAUAUUUGCCUUAUCAAAUUAAUAAAGGCAGGGAUAGUAAAUAUAUAAAUGUAAUUGAUUACUAUUAAAGUAAACCAAUUGGG
This is a long non-coding RNA of Crotalus tigris (Tiger rattlesnake), 2044 nucleotides long. RefSeq lists it as uncharacterized. The transcript has 2 exons. Lineage: Eukaryota; Metazoa; Chordata; Lepidosauria; Squamata; Viperidae. The record is from RefSeq and is a predicted model, not a curated record.